UCGCAAUCCGCCAACCGGUCAAGCCGUGUCGCGGAAGGUUUUUCAACCAGCCAAUGUCCAGGCAAACCCUGGAGCGAGGUGAGCG
This is a regulatory RNA element of Aquabacterium sp. NJ1, 85 nucleotides long. It matches the Rfam family "SucA RNA motif". Lineage: Bacteria; Pseudomonadati; Pseudomonadota; Betaproteobacteria; Burkholderiales; Sphaerotilaceae. The record is from Rfam.